GAUGAACGCUGGCGGCGUGCCUAAUACAUGCAAGUCGAGCGAACAGACGAGGAGCUUGCUCCUCUGACGUUAGCGGCGGACGGGUGAGUAACACGUGGAUAACCUACCUAUAAGACUGGGAUAACUUCGGGAAACCGGAGCUAAUACCGGAUAAUAUAUUGAACCGCAUGGUUCAAUAGUGAAAGACGGUUUUGCUGUCACUUAUAGAUGGAUCCGCGCCGCAUUAGCUAGUUGGUAAGGUAACGGCUUACCAAGGCAACGAUGCGUAGCCGACCUGAGAGGGUGAUCGGCCACACUGGAACUGAGACACGGUCCAGACUCCUACGGGAGGCAGCAGUAGGGAAGCUUGCGCAAUGGGCGAAAGCCUGACGGAGCAACGCCGCGUGAGUGAGGAAGGUCUUCGGAUCGUAAAACUCUGUUAUUAGGGAAGAACAAAUGUGUAAGUAACUAUGCACGUCUUGACGGUACCUAAUCAGAAAGCCACGGCUAACUACGUG
RNAcentral lists this ribosomal RNA (497 nucleotides) under uncultured bacterium. RNAcentral describes it as "partial 16S ribosomal RNA". It matches the Rfam family "Bacterial small subunit ribosomal RNA", at positions 28 to 507 of the family's 1533-position model. The record is from RNAcentral.